Molecule: long non-coding RNA, 542 nt
Organism: Glycine soja
Lineage: Eukaryota; Viridiplantae; Streptophyta; Magnoliopsida; Fabales; Fabaceae
Exons: 3
Source: RefSeq, a predicted model, not a curated record
UGUUAAAUUUGGUAUACGAUCACUGCUUAUAUUUAUACCAAAUCCUUUGCAGAUUGUAUUUGUAGGACAUAUAGUCUAAACUGAAAAAUAUGCCAAAGUUUUAUUUUGAAUCACCAAUGGUCAUGCCAAGUAGAGCAAUGCUAAUUCAUUUGACAGUCUUCUAAUUAUGCAUUUAUUUUAAUCUUGAUCCUUCCAGGCAUGGGUCACACUUGGCAGAGCACAACUUAAUUUUGGUGAGCCUGAUAAUGCUAUUGAAAGCUUUGACCGUGCUUUAGCUCUCAAGGUGUUCAUUCAGUUAUUUCUUUGAUUCUUGCUUUCAUUUUGGACCGUGCUGCUCAUCAUCACAGAUGGAUCGAAGUUGGAUGAAUGAAAGUCGCAUCAGCCCAGAAUAUGAGGAAGGCGUCGAGCAAUUCUUACAAUUUGCUUCACAAAGAGGUCAACCGGAUGAAGAUGGAAAAUAUUAUUGUCCUUGCAUCAAUUGUUUGAACGGAAGACGACAAAUACUGGAUGACAUACGAGAGCAUCUGUUGUGUGAUGGAAUU